UACGUAGGGGGCAAGCGUUAUCCGGAAUUACUGGGUGUAAAGGGUGAGUAGGCGGCAUGGUAAGCCAGAUGUGAAAGCCUUGGGCUUAACCCGAGGAUUGCAUUUGGAACUAUCAAGCUAGAGUACAGGAGAGGAAAGCGGAAUUCCUAGUGUAGCGGUGAAAUGCGUAGAUAUUAGGAAGAACACCAGUGGCGAAGGCGGCUUUCUGGACUAAAACUGACGCUGAGGCACGAAAGCGUGGGGAGCGAACAGG
Molecule: ribosomal RNA, 253 nt
Filed under: uncultured bacterium
Lineage: Bacteria
Description: partial 16S ribosomal RNA
Rfam family: Bacterial small subunit ribosomal RNA
Source: RNAcentral